AUGGAAAUGUUGGAUGAUCUCAUUGAGGAUUUGGGAUAUGAGCACAAAGGGAAAAUAAAGACCUAUUUGCUCCUGCUUGGUAGUCAAACAAAUGAAGAUGAGCUUCGGUUGAUCUCAAAGAACAGUGACAAAAACUGCAUUUGCGCAAUGGUUAAAGAGGGACAUAGGUAUCACAUGUUCUAUCUAGAACGCGUAAAUAACGUCAAUGCAGAAUGGGAUGAUGUUUUUUUAAAACCCUGCUACACACUUGCCUGCUACUAUCAGUCCUAUGAAAUGCAGAAGAGAGGAGAAGCAGGACAAUGGUGCAGAUAUGAGCAUUGGGCCAGAUCAGAGCAUUGGGGCAUGCUGUUUUACAGAUAG
Molecule: ribosomal RNA, 360 nt
Filed under: Triticum aestivum (bread wheat)
Lineage: Eukaryota; Viridiplantae; Streptophyta; Magnoliopsida; Poales; Poaceae
Description: partial small subunit ribosomal RNA
Source: RNAcentral